UACGAAGGGUGCAAACGUUGCUCGGAAUUACUGGGCGUAAAGCGUGCGCAGGCGGUUUCACAAGCUCGAUGUGAAAGCCCCGGGCUUAACCUGGGAAUGGCAUUGAGGACUGUGGAGCUCGAGUGCGGCAGAGGGAGGUGGAAUUCCACGUGUAGCAGUGAAAUGCGUAGAGAUGUGGAGGAACACCGAUGGCGAAGGCAGCCUCCUGGGCCGACACUGACGCUCAUGCACGAAAGCGUGGGGAGCAAACAGG
RNAcentral lists this ribosomal RNA (253 nucleotides) under uncultured bacterium. RNAcentral's name for it is "partial 16S ribosomal RNA". It matches the Rfam family "Bacterial small subunit ribosomal RNA", at positions 524 to 776 of the family's 1533-position model. The record is from RNAcentral.